GCCCACAGUACCUGGUUUUAAUGCUCCCGUUCUUCCUUUUGCUCUUUUAUUUUCUUUCCCUUCCCCCGCUCACCAUCUUUUUUCCCUGCUCAUGGUAUUGAGGGUACACUCUGAGGAGCCCCCCCUUAUUUUUUUUUGGGGGAUCCAUGCUGGUAGAUCAGAGAGACAGAAUAAGCCACAGCUAUCUCACCUUGCCAAUUCCUUUAGCUGGUCCUGUUUCCUCAGACUGGAAGCUUCUGUGUCCUCAUCCCAAUGAGCCCCCCCUUAUUUAAAUAAUUUUUUUUUUAGACAAGAUCUUGCAACGUAGAUAAGGCUAUCCUCUAAUUCAAGGUCUUGUUACGUAGACAAGGCUAUCCUCUAAGAUAGCUUUAAGAUCCUCCUGGCUGGGCGGUGGUGGGCACACGCCUUUAAUCCAGAUAUUUGGGAGGCAGAGGCAGGUGGAUCUCUGUGAGUUCGAGACUAGCCUGGUCUACAUAUUGUAGUUGACUGUCCAGAAGAUGCAGAGCUGCUGGUAAUUGAUGACCAGGUCCAGGACGGUCCGGAAGCCUUCGGCAAUGUCGAACUCGUCCAUGCCACUGCCUUGCUCCCAGGCGUACACGCUCCUGCGUCUUCUGGAAAUCUUCUAAUUGCCUGUGGAUCUCCCGGACUAACAUCGAGCGCUCGUUUUGUUGGGAGUCAUAGCUCUUCAGUGAGCUGAGGAACACAACGAUGUCGGCAUCCGAUCCAGAUUUCAGA
Non-coding RNA from Peromyscus maniculatus bairdii (prairie deer mouse), 735 nucleotides. The record is from RefSeq and is a predicted model, not a curated record. NCBI's taxonomy places the organism in Eukaryota, Metazoa, Chordata, Mammalia, Rodentia, Cricetidae.